RNAcentral lists this microRNA (22 nucleotides) under Bos taurus (domestic cattle). RNAcentral's name for it is "bta-miR-2285ap". The record is from miRBase by way of RNAcentral. Lineage: Eukaryota; Metazoa; Chordata; Mammalia; Artiodactyla; Bovidae.
AAACCCGGAUGAACUUUUUGGC